This 1826-nucleotide long non-coding RNA is filed under the name Salmo salar (Atlantic salmon). RNAcentral describes it as "lncRNA (ENSSSAG00000103029.1)". The record is from RNAcentral. Lineage: Eukaryota; Metazoa; Chordata; Actinopteri; Salmoniformes; Salmonidae.
AGAGAGACAGGGAGAGAGAUACAGGGAGAGAGAGACAGAGAAGACCUCUAUAUAAAAAUGUCCAUUCAUUGAUGUAGAACAACUCUGUUGUAUAGUGAGUCUAUUGAAACCUGAUUGGUUGACUGUUAGAGGAGGCGGGUAGCCUAGUGGUUAGAGGAGGAGGCAGGUAGCCUAGUGGUUAGAGGAGGCAGGUAGCCUAGUGGUUAGAGGAGGAGGCAGGUAGCCUAGUGGUUAGAGGAGGCAGGUAGCCUAGUGGUUAGAGGAGGCAGGUAGCCUAGUGGUUAGAGGAGGAGGCAGGUAGCCUGGUGGUUAGAGGAGGAGGCGGGUAGCCUAGUGGUUAGAGGAGGAGGCAGGUAGCCUAGUGGUUAGAGGAGGCAGGUAGCCUAGUGGUUAGAGGAGGAGGCAGGUAGCCUAGUGGUUAGAGGAGGAGGCAGGUAGCCUAGUGGUUAGAGGAGGAGGCGGGUAGCCUAGUGGUUAGAGGAGGCAGGUAGCCUAGUGGUUAGAGGAGGCAGGUAGCCUAGUGGUUAGAGGAGGAGGCAGGUAGCCUAGUGGAUAGAGGAGGAGGCAGGUAGCCUAGUGAUUAGAGGAGGAGGCAGGUAACCUAGUGGUUAGAGGAGGAGGCAGGUAGCCUAGUGGUUAGAGGAGGAGGCAGGUAACCUAGUGGUUAGAGGAGGAGGCAGGUAGCCUAGUGGUUAGAGGAGGAGGCAGGUAGCCUAGUGGUUAGAGGAGGAGGCAGGUAGCCUAGUGGUUAGAGGAGGAGGCAGGUAGCCUAGUGGUUAGAGGAGGAGGCGGGUAGCCUAGUGGUUAGAGGAGGAGGCAGGUAGCCUAGUGGUUAGAGGAGGAGGCGGGUAGCCUAGUGGUUAGAGGAGGCAGGUAGCCUAGUGGUUAGAGGAGGCAGGUAGCCUAGUGGUUAGAGGAGGCAGGUAGCCUAGUGGUUAGAGGAGGAGGCAGGUAGCCUGGUGGUUAGAGGAGGCAGGUAGCCUAGUGGUUAGAGAGUUGGGCCAGUAACUGAAGGUGAAAAUCUGUCAUUCUGCCCCUGAUUCUUAACUGACUUGCCUAGUUAAAUGAAGGUUAAAUAAAGGUUAAAUUAAUAAAACAUGUAAAAGUCUGUGUGCAUGUUGAAGGUUAAAUAAAGGUUAAAUGAAGGUUACAUUAAUAAAACAUGUAAAAAUCUGACUGUUUUUGUGUUGAAGGUUAAAUGAAGGUUAAAUAAAGGUUAAAUGAAGGUUACAUUAAUAAAAGAUGUAAAAGUCUGACUGUGUGUGUGUCUUGUCUCUAGCUGUGGAGCGUUUAGGGUUGGGUUGGCUGGUGGUCGUUGACUCUUCAUCACUCUCACUGGUGCUCACGAUACGCUGGGCCUUUCUACCAGUACGCCUCAACAAUGACUUCCUGAAACACACACACACACACACACACACACACACACACACACACACACACACACACACACACACACACACACACACACACACACACACACACACACACACACACACACACACACACACACACACACACACACAGAUACAGAUAGACAUUUGAAGACCAGAAAGGUAAUGCCACUAGUCUGACCUGUCUGCGUUGUUGCUCUGCUGCUGGGUGUGAGGAGGAGGAGGAGGAGGAGGGACAAUGAAGAUGUUCUCUUCGUCACUGUCCUUCUCUCUCAGACAGGACAGGGCAUUGGACUUAGCUAGUCGCGUCGCUCUACUGCCAUCUGCUGUACUUGUCUUUCUCCCUCUGGAACAGGGGAAGGGGGGCCGGGAGGAGAGGAAGAGGAUGUUUUCGUACCAGUGCAGAAGAAAGGAAGAUGGGUCACAGUUGAGAUG